AGAACGGUCUUGCGCAACGGAGACCCGUGAACCAUGUCAGGUGGGGAACCAAGCAGCAUUCAGCGGAUUUCUCCGUGUGCCGCGGGGCUGCCGUUCUUGA
This 100-nucleotide signal recognition particle RNA is filed under the name Clostridiales bacterium. Its description in RNAcentral is "signal recognition particle sRNA small type". It matches the Rfam family "Bacterial small signal recognition particle RNA". Rfam says of the family: The signal recognition particle (SRP) is a universally conserved ribonucleoprotein involved in the co-translational targeting of proteins to membranes. Lineage: Bacteria; Bacillati; Bacillota; Clostridia; Eubacteriales. The record is from RNAcentral.